This 619-nucleotide small RNA is filed under the name uncultured Galactomyces. RNAcentral's name for it is "eukaryotic LSU rRNA". The stretch from base 354 to 619 matches the Rfam family "Eukaryotic large subunit ribosomal RNA", at positions 1 to 281 of the family's 3401-position model. Lineage: Eukaryota; Fungi; Ascomycota; Dipodascomycetes; Dipodascales; Dipodascaceae. The record is from RNAcentral.
CUUGGUCAUUUAGAGGAAGUAAAAGUCGUAACAAGGUUUCCGUAGGUGAACCUGCGGAAGGAUCAUUAAGAAUUGAUAAUAUUUGUGAAAUUUAUACAAACAACAACAAUCAUACAAUCAAAACAAAAAUAAUCAAAACUUUUAACAAUGGAUCUCUUGGUUCUCGUAUCGAUGAAGAACGCAGCGAAACGCGAUAUUUCUUGUGAAUUGCAGAAGUGAAUCAUCAGUUUUUGAACGCACAUUGCACUUUGGGGUAUCCCCCAAAGUAUACUUGUUUGAGCGUUGUUUCUCUCUUGGAAUUGCAUUGCUUUUCUAAAAUUUCGAAUCAAAUUCGUUUGAAAAACAACACUAUUCAACCUCAGAUCAAGUAGGAUUACCCGCUGAACUUAAGCAUAUCAAUAAGCGGAGGAAAAGAAACCAACAGGGAUUGCCUUAGUAACGGCGAGUGAAGCGGCAAAAGCUCAAAUUUGAAAUCGGCCCCCAGGUCGAGUUGUAAUUUGUAGAUUGUAUCUUGAGAGCGGAUUAAAGUCUGUUGGAACACAGCGCCUUAGAGGGUGACAGCCCCGUAAAAUCUAUUCUCAUUGUAAGAUACUUUCGAAGAGUCGAGUUGUUUGGGAAU